Molecule: ribosomal RNA, 491 nt
Filed under: uncultured bacterium
Lineage: Bacteria
Description: partial 16S ribosomal RNA
Rfam family: Bacterial small subunit ribosomal RNA
Source: RNAcentral
AGUGAACGCUGGCGGUAGGCCUAACACAUGCAAGUCGAACGGCAGCACAGUAAGAGCUUGCUCUUACGGGUGGCGAGUGGCGGACGGGUGAGGAAUACAUCGGAAUCUACUUUUUCGUGGGGGUUAACGUAGGGAAACUUACGCUAAUACCGCAUACGACCUACGGGUGAAAGCAGGGGAUCUUCGGACCUUGCGCGAUUGAAUGAGCCGAUGUCGGAUUAGCUAGUUGACGGGGUAAAGGCCCACCAAGGCGACGAUCCGUAGCUGGUCUGAGAGGAUGAUCAGCCACACUGGAACUGAGACACGGUCCAGACUCCUACGGGAGGCAGCAGUGGGGAAUAUUGGACAAUGGGCGAAAGCCUGAUCCAGCCAUACCGCGUGGGUGAAGAAGGCCUUCGGGUUGUAAAGCCCUUUUGUUGGGAAAGAAAAGCAGCAGGUUAAUACCCCGCUGUUCUGACGGUACCCAAAGAAUAAGCACCGGCUAACUUCGU